GAUGAACGCUGGCGGCGUGCCUAACACAUGCAAGUCGAGCGGACUUAUAACGAGAAUCUUCGGAUGAUUAUUAUAAGUUAGCGGCGGAUGGGUGAGGAACGCGUGGAGAACCUGCCCUUCACAGGGGGAUAACAGCUGGAAACGACUGUUAAUACCGCAUACGCUCACGGUACCGCAUGGUACAGGGAGGAAAGCUCCGGCGGUGAAGGAUGGCUCCGCGUCGGAUUAACUGGUUGGCGGGGUAACGGCCCACCAAGGUAAUGAUCCGUAGCCGGCCUGAGAGGGCGACCGGCCACAUUGGGACUGAGACACGGCCCAAACUCC
This 324-nucleotide ribosomal RNA is filed under the name uncultured Butyrivibrio sp. RNAcentral's name for it is "bacterial SSU rRNA". It matches the Rfam family "Bacterial small subunit ribosomal RNA", at positions 28 to 339 of the family's 1533-position model. Lineage: Bacteria; Bacillati; Bacillota; Clostridia; Lachnospirales; Lachnospiraceae. The record is from RNAcentral.